This 423-nucleotide ribosomal RNA is filed under the name uncultured bacterium. Its description in RNAcentral is "partial 16S ribosomal RNA". It matches the Rfam family "Bacterial small subunit ribosomal RNA", at positions 360 to 775 of the family's 1533-position model. The record is from RNAcentral.
AAUUUUGGACAAUGGGGGAAACCCUGAUCCAGCCAUCCCGCGUGUAUGAUGAAGGCCUUCGGGUUGAAAAGUACUUUUGGCAGAAACGAAAAGGUACCUCCUAAUACGAGGUACUGCUGACGGUAUCUGCAGAUGAAGCACCGGCUAACUACGUGCCAGAAGCCGCGGUAAUACGUAGGGUGCAAGCGUUAAUCAGAAUUACUGGGCGUAAAGCGUGUUAAGGCGGUUCGGAAAGAAAGAUGUGAAAUCCCAGGGCUCAACCUUGGAACUGCAUUUUUAACUGCCGAGCUAGAGUAUGUCAGAGGGGGGUAGAAUUCCACGUGUAGCAGUGAAAUGCGUAGAUAUGUGGAGGAAUACCGAUGGCGAAGGCAGCCCCCUGGGAUAAUACUGACGCUCAGACACGAAAGCGUGGGGAGCAAACAG